AUUGAACGCUGGCGGCAGGCCUAACACAUGCAAGUCGAACGAGUGGCGGACGGGUGAGUAAUGUCUGGGAAACUGCCUGAUGGAGGGGGCUAACUACGGGAAACGGUAGCUAAUACCGCAUACCAUCGGAUGUGCCCAGAUGGGAUUUGCUAGUAGGUGGGGUAACGGCUCACCUAGGCGACGAUCCCUAGCGGGUCUGAGAGGUUGACCAGCCACACUGGAACUGAGAAACGGUCCAGACUCCUACGGGAGGCAGCAGUGGGUAAUAUGGCACAAUGGGCGCAAGCCUGAUGCAUCCAUGCCGCGUGUAUGAAGAAGGCCUUCGGGUUGUAAAGUAAUUUCAGCGGGGAGGCGUUACCCGCAGAAGAAGCACCGGCUAACUCCGUGCCAGCAGCCGCGGUAAUUC
This 406-nucleotide ribosomal RNA is filed under the name uncultured bacterium. Its description in RNAcentral is "partial 16S ribosomal RNA". It matches the Rfam family "Bacterial small subunit ribosomal RNA", at positions 30 to 526 of the family's 1533-position model. The record is from RNAcentral.